Molecule: long non-coding RNA, 2498 nt
Organism: Rhinopithecus roxellana (golden snub-nosed monkey)
Lineage: Eukaryota; Metazoa; Chordata; Mammalia; Primates; Cercopithecidae
Exons: 10
Source: RefSeq, a predicted model, not a curated record
GGUGAUCCUUUCACCUCCACUUCCUGAGUAGCUGGGACUACAGACAUGGAUCCCUGAGGUUGGUCCCCAAUACUACAAGGCAAUUUGGUAUCAUAAUAGAACACUGCAGACACAAUGCUGAGUGAAGAAGAGUAGAAAUGGGAAGACUUGGUUGAGCGGAAACUGAAUUCUUGAAAAGAGGAGAUGCUCGAUGAGGGCAUGGAAGCCUAAGGUCUGUCUCCAAAACUACAAGACUAUUUGACAUUAUAAUAAAACACUGCAGAUAUGACGCUGAGUAAGAGUGGAAAUGGGAAGACUUAGUUGUGCAGUAACUGAGUUCUUGAAAAUAGGAAAUGCUUGAUGAGGGCAUGGAUCACUAAGGUCUGUUCCCAAUAUGAGAAGACUAUUUGACAUCAUAAUAAAACACUGCAGAUAUGAUGCUGAGUGAAAAAGAGUAGAAAUGUGAAGACUUGGUUGUGCAGAAACUGAGUUCUUAAAGAGAGGAGAUAUUUUAUGAGGGCAUGGAAAUCUAAGGUCUUUCCAGAAUACCACAAGACUACUUGAUAUCAUAAUAAAACACCGUAGAUAUGAUGCUGAGUGAGUAAGAGUAGAAAUGGGAAGACCUGGUUGUGCAGAAACUAAGUUCUUAAAAGGAGGAGAUGCUUGAUGAGGGCAUGGAUCCUUAAGGUCUGUUCCCAAUACAACAAGACUAUCUGUUAUCGUAAUAAAACACUGCUGAUAGGAUGCUGAAUGAAAAACAGUAGAAAUGGGGAGAUUUGGUUGUGCAGAAACUGAGUUCUUAAAAAGAGGAGAUGCUUGAUGAUGGGGACCUCUGAAGUAUUCCAAAGGCCAGGUGCCAGACAGGCUUUCACCCUAUCACCGAGACUGGAAUACAGUGGCAUGAUCGUGGCUCACUGCACCAUCGACCUCCCUGGGCUGAAGUAAUCCUCUCAACUCAGACUUCCAAGUAACUUGAACUACAGGCUGGAGUGCAAUGGAGCGAUCUUGCCCGGCCAAUACUGAGUUCUUGAAAAGAGAUGUUUGAUGAGGUUGCAGGGCUUUGACUCCUGGGUACAUGUAUCUCUUCUGAAAGGGAACCCUGAUGCCUACUGAAUCUUAACAGUCAACGUUGAUAUCUGGCAUCAAAUUCAAGUUGACCAAAGUUCCAUCUUCUGACCUCGGAGAAGAUGACAGUCAAAAUGAACUGCUUUCAUGUGACACUGGACCAGGCCUAUAUACAAAGGCAUAAAUAAUCAUUGAAUAAUGUUUCCUCUAUCUAAAUAUAAUUUGUUCUAUGCCUUACUAGAUAAAUGUUUAGUUACCUAUGAGUUUUCUUUUCCUGCCUUUGUCAGAGCUAGGCAGGGCUUAAGUCUCUUUUGUUUAAACAUUACUAACUUGAUACAUAGCUUGCAAAAUUGGGUAAAACAACAAAGGUUACUUUUUCGCUCUCUCUCUGCUUAAUAUCUGUGAAAUUUAAAACUAUUUAGAAUCCCACUGGCCCAAUCUAUUUUCAAUGCUAAUGCUCCACUGCUAAAACUAUAUAAGCACCUUCCCCCUAGGCUCAGGCACUAUCUUGGAAGAGGUAAGUGUAUAAGGUUGAUUUUUGAGCAACAAAAUUAAUUUAGAUUUUCCAAAUCAAAAAUGGGCACACAGAUGCCCAAACAGUUGGCAAAAUAAGAUACUUUACCUCCUGGACCAGUAUGUGGUCCCUUUUCAUCCAUCCCAACCAUAAUUUCUUCUUUCCCGUAGAAUUAAAAGAAAAUUGCAAAGAGGACAUGAACAUACCUGGUAACAAAACCUCCUGGGUAUAGUGCUCCCAGUUAUGAGAUUUAUGCAGAUUGUUAUAUAAAGUUUUUAAAAUCAAACACCUUAGGACAGACUAUUAAAAAGACUGCCAAAAGCAUUGUGACACAACAGAAGUCUCUAAAUUCUGUAGCUUAAAAAGUUUUAACAAAAUAUUUAUGUUUUGCAAGCUAAUUGCUACAAGUCUAUAACUAAAACAUGUAUUAACUGAUGUCUUAGGUCUCCCUAAAAUAUAUAAAACCAAGUUGUAAACCAAUCACCUUGGGCACAUGUUCUCAGGAGCUCUUGAGACUGUGCUUUGGGCCAUGGUCGCUCAUAUUUGGCUCAGAAUAAAAUUUAAAGAAUAUUUUACAGAGUUAUGUUUUUCUUGUUGGCUUUUUCAUAAAAUAUAAAAUGUUUGAGAAAGGCACUUCUCAAGUGGCCAAGUGAGGAUAUUCUAGCUUAAUGCGUAGAAUUUACAGCUAAGUCAAUUUUGUAACCUUGCCUUUUGACUUUUGGUUCUUGAAGCUUACAUUACAGAAUUUUAAGGUUUGAUAAAUGCCUGCUCCACUUCCAUUCCCAUCUGGCCUAGAAUAUUUAAAUUGGCUAUAAGUCUUUUGGCUCUAAAUCUGUUGGCUGUGAGUCCCCACCAAGGGAUAGGAUGGACCCAGGGCAGAUAACCACACCACUCCAGCAAUGGUAUGGGACAAAAUGAUAGUUUGGCCAUUGAUGUUGCU